This 375-nucleotide long non-coding RNA is filed under the name Lupinus angustifolius (narrow-leaved blue lupine). RNAcentral's name for it is "long non-coding RNA (LANG_LNC001694)". The record is from RNAcentral. Lineage: Eukaryota; Viridiplantae; Streptophyta; Magnoliopsida; Fabales; Fabaceae.
UGAAGUUUGCAUUUUGUGCCUUGGAAACGUGUAGUCAACACAUGAAGAAGUGCUUCCUUUAUUACAGGACAACUGGAGUGCACUAAUGAGAUAUCCAAUGUAGGGGAUGGUCCAGAUGGAAGGAGAAUUGUGUGGGAAUUUUAGACGGUUGAUAUUAAAACUGUGUCUGAACCUUUGUUGGACCGUGUGUUAGUUAGUGGAGACGUGCGCUGGACAAGUGUGAAGCUUUUGGGAAUCGUGUAGCAGGUUGAGUAGAAAUCCAACGCCCUAAUGUAGUGAGAGGUUGGCAUAGAACACAUGUCGCAUCAUGGAGAUCAUGUAUCCCCAUGUGUAGGGAUUUUUCUUGCUUUUGAUUAUGUCAUAAUUGUUUGCGAU